GCUUUAUUGAUUGGCCACCAAUUUUGCAUUAUUUAUUGGCAUUAAUUUGAUACCGGGAUAUGAUUAUUUUUGCCUAAACUAAGAACACAUAACAUACUUGUCAAUAUUAGUCGAAGAAACUUGAGACUUGUGUGAGGACUUUAAUCCUAGGAACUUUUAGGAGUUCUAUGUUUAAGAGUGAUCCGGGGGCGAUAGUCUUGCAUGUAAUCCACGUUUUGUAUGCCACGAGAGUGAGUAUAAACUAAUUUUGAGAUUGUCUUAGGAAGAACUUGUCAUUAAUUGAAUGAGUUGAGUUUAUUUGAUUUCAUUAAUGGCGGAGUGUUGCCCAACAUUAAGAUUGCGACGCUACGGCUGCCCGAGAUUGAGAGCUUCCAUGUGUUGGGUUGUACCUCAAGGUACAAGUGGCUGAGCCCACCUCUGCAAGCAAGGGGGAAUUCGGGAAUGGUGAAAAGAAUUUAGCUUUUUGUUUAUUUCCUUUAAGUUUGUCCCUUACUUCCUUCAAGUUCGUUAUGGGAGGCUCAUAUCCUAGAUCCAGUUGUAGAAGUCGUUGUGGAGCGUGGUAUUCGUUAGAGGGAAUCACAUCAGUCUGCCAUAGGUGUUCAUCGCAAUCUUCUACGGCCGAUCAAGGGGCUGCCCCUGUGCCCAGUGAAGCCGUGUGAGGCCUACGACUAUAUGAUGGUUGCUCUGUUCGAGAACUGCAGCAUGAGCUGCGAGGUAUUCGACAAGUAGCGCAAGAGGUGCGUCGACUGCAACGAGAAUGGCUUGGCCCGUUGCUCACUCUCCUGAGGUAUGAUAAUUAUUAUUGUUGUCAUCGGCAUUGUUGUGGUGGGACGAUUGUGGUGACUGGCGGCGGUUCGUAGCAUGGUAUAGUAUUACUCUCCAUCUUGUCUGAGUAACUUUAGAUAUUAUUUUGGCAAUGAUGGAGAUUCUGAUGAAGGCCUGAUUUAUUGAGGCUUUUCUUUGAUUUAUUGUCAUUAUUUUGUUUUCAGUUGGUAGAACUAUGUUAGUAACGAUUCGUGGUUAUUAAAUUUUCACAGAUUGUUGUCUCGAUUUGGUUAAGCAGAAAAUAUUGAUUAAAAGGGGUUACUUGAUCAAUAUGUUGUUUUUCUUGACCAUGGGACGUUGACAAGGCAACCAUACUUCAGCUACAACGUCGUUUCCGCCAGAACUACAGUGUAUUUCAUUGCCAAUUAUUUGUUUGUGAUUUUAUUGCCAUAUUUUAUAUUGUGGACUCUGGAUACUUUUUGUAUUUGGUGCUUUUGUUAUUGAAUUUCCUAUCAACCCCAAUGUUUGUAUUUUCAUGCAGUUUUUCUUUCUCCGUCAAAACACUCGGCUCAUCAAUUGAAGUGAUAUCUCGUAUCUAGAUUUUUUGUCCAAUAUGUGGAACUUGUAUGAUUUUAAGGAAUGUAUUUUCAUGCAGUGGAACUGAAUGUUUUUGUUUUGAUUCGGGAUCUCUGAAAAUGGUCAAAUACUUGUAUGAUUUUAAGGAAUGUUUUUGUUUUUAUUAGGAUCGCUUAUUUCGUUAAGGGAUGUUAUUUUGUUUUGAUUUUGAGUCUCAUUUUAUGGUAAAGGUUGGAUCUUUUUGCGUGGAG
This is a long non-coding RNA of Salvia miltiorrhiza (redroot sage), 1592 nucleotides long. RefSeq lists it as uncharacterized. The record is from RefSeq and is a predicted model, not a curated record. The transcript has 2 exons. NCBI's taxonomy places the organism in Eukaryota, Viridiplantae, Streptophyta, Magnoliopsida, Lamiales, Lamiaceae.